CAAGAUUAUAUCAGAUUAUCGUCCACUGAAAGGACUUUUCUAUUUGAUUUAUUUAUAUAACGGGGACGAUACAUGUCGUCUGCUUAUCCCAGCUGACUUAAUGAUGGACCCUGCAGUACUGACCUAUUCAGUGGAUGAAUAAUAGCAACUCUUUUUACGAGGAUGAAAGUCGAGGGAGCACUUAACACUUCAGGAACAACAAGGCUCAAGCCUGCCAUGAACUGGAAGUUUGUGAGUUUUACAUCAAGAUCGGCAUCUUCAUGCUCCCCUGAAGUUUUCAGCUGAUCACGUGAACGAGCCAAAUAGAAAAAAUGUGCAGAGACGAGACAAAGACUGAGCUAUUUGGCCACAGUGAUAACAGCGCGCAGACUUCACCGACUGGCCCGCUGUGACGGAGCGACACGGGAGGAUGGCAUCCCCACCCUCGGAUACAGCAACUUCAGAGGGCACAAAUACCUCCAGCUUGUAAGCUUCCAAGUGUUUCCUGUUGCAGCCUACAGUGAUGCAGAGAAAACCUCCAACAAUCAGGUUUCCCCCCUAUGAGCAGGCUCUUUGGCAGCAAUGGGAA
Long non-coding RNA from Astatotilapia calliptera (eastern happy), 568 nucleotides. The record is from Ensembl. Lineage: Eukaryota; Metazoa; Chordata; Actinopteri; Cichliformes; Cichlidae.